GACGAACGCUGGCGGCGUGCUUAACACAUGCAAGUCGAACGGAAAGGCCCUGCUUUUGUGGGGUGCUCGAGUGGCGAACGGGUGAGUAACACGUGAGUAACCUGCCUUUGACUUUGGGAUAACUUCAGGAAACUGGGGCUAAUACCGGAUAGGAGCUCCUGCUGCAUGGUGGGGGUUGGAAAGUUUCGGCGGUUGGGGACGGACUCGCGGCUUAUCAGCUUGUUGGUGGGGUAGUGGCUUACCAAGGCUUUGACGGGUAGCCGGCCUGAGAGGGUGACCGGCCACAUUGGGACUGAGAUACGGCCCAGACUCCUACGGGAGGCAGCAGUGGGGAAUAUUGCACAAUGGGCGGAAGCCUGAUGCAGCAACGCCGCGUGCGGGAUGACGGCCUUCGGGUUGUAAACCGCUUUCGCCUGUGACGAAGCGUGAGUGACGGUAAUGGGUAAAGAAGCACCGGCUAACUACGUG
RNAcentral lists this ribosomal RNA (468 nucleotides) under uncultured bacterium. RNAcentral describes it as "partial 16S ribosomal RNA". It matches the Rfam family "Bacterial small subunit ribosomal RNA", at positions 28 to 507 of the family's 1533-position model. The record is from RNAcentral.